UGGCGGCAGGCCUAACACAUGCAAGUCGAACGGUAACAGGAAGCAGCUUGCUGCUUUGCUGACGAGUGGCGGACGGGUGAGUAAUGUCUGGGAACUGCCUGAUGGAGGGGGAUAACUACUGGAAACGGUAGCUAAUACCGCAUAACGUCGCAAGACCAAAGAGGGGGACCUUCGGGCCUCUUGCCAUCGGAUGUGCCCAGAUGGGAUUAGCUAGUAGGUGGGGUAACGGCUCACCUAGCUCGACGAUCCCUAGCUGGUCUGAGAGGAUGACCAGGCACACUGGAACUGAGACUCCGCCCAGAGUCCUACGGGAG
Molecule: ribosomal RNA, 314 nt
Filed under: Enterobacter hormaechei
Lineage: Bacteria; Pseudomonadati; Pseudomonadota; Gammaproteobacteria; Enterobacterales; Enterobacteriaceae
Description: bacterial SSU rRNA
Rfam family: Bacterial small subunit ribosomal RNA
Source: RNAcentral